ACUGGUCCCUGGGUGGUUGCAGUGGUAGAGUGCGAGCUUGCUGACCGAAAAGUGGAAUCCGGUCCCCUGUGUUCGUGGAGUCUCAGCCGCCGAGGAUCUCAGGGCUGGUUCCCGUCCCUUCGGAGCCCCGGAGGCCAAACUGGGAUUACAAGUUUAAGGUUUCCUAGAGGGCGAAAGAUAAGGAGCCGACCUCCCCCCCCCCCCCCCCCACCUCCCUGCGGUGUCUGCUGCGGGAGCGGCCAACCCCUACCCGAGUUAAAACUCCCGGGGAGUCUUCGCUGCUCCCACCUCCGCUUCUCCCGCCACGCUCCCACUUGGGGUUCCCCCCACCAGGGCCGCGAGUCGCCGCGGUGGCCGCAGCUUGGCUGCGGGCUGGAUGUGCGCCCCCGCGGAUUCCCGGGAAUCUGGAAGCGGCCGCUGAGCCGCGGCGCGGGCGGAAAGUUUGUAUUCGCCCCGUGCAGCCUCACCCCGCAGGGGCGUCCACCAUGAUCACCCGUGUCUUCAGCGUGCGCGUGUGGGCCCCGGUGGGCGUCUUGACUUCGCUGGCGUAUUGCGUCCACCAGCGGCGGGUGGCCCGGGCCGAGACCCCGGGGGCGCCUAGCCAGCGUCCCGUCGACCGGAGUCUGCUGGAAUUGAAAAUGGUGCAGGUCGUGUUCCGACACGGGGCGCGGAGUCCUCUCAAGCCGCUCCCGCGGGAGCAGGCAGAGUGGAAUCUCCAGCUAUUAGAGGCCCCGCCCCAAACUCAGUUUGAUUACACUGUCACCAAUCUAGCUGGUGGCCUGAAACCACAUUCUCCUUUUGACUCUCAGUACCGUAAGACCGUACUCAAGGGAGGCAUGUUUUCUGGACAGCUGACUAAUGUGGGCAUGCAGCAGAUGUUUGCCCUAGGACAGAGGCUGAGGAAGAGCUAUGUGGAGGACAUCCCCUUUCUUUCACCAACCUUCAAUCCACUGGAAGUCUUUGUUCGUUCCACUAAUAUAUAUCGGAAUCUGGAGUCUACCCGAUGUUUGCUGGCUGGGCUUUUCCAAAGUCAGAAAGAAGGACCCGUCGUCAUCCACACUGAUGAAGCAAGCUCUGAAGUCUUGUACCCCAACUACCAGAACUGUUGGAGCCUGCAGGAGAGAACGAGAGGCCGGAGGCAGGCUGCCUGUUUGCAGCCAGGAAUCUCCGAGGAUUUGCAAAAGGUGAAGGAAGGGAUGGGCAUUGCCAGUAAUGACGGAGUAGACUUCCUCAGCCUCCUUGACAAUGUGGCUGCUGAGCAGGUGCACAGCCUCCUGAGCUGCCCCACACUGAGGAGAUUUGCACAGAUGAUCGAGCAGAGAGCUGUGGACACGGCCUUGUACGUUAUGCAGAGGGAAGACAGGUUACUCUCUCCUCCGCCGUCUGAUUGGGCUCAUGAGGUCCUGGUGGCAGACCCGCCCGCAGCCCCGUGUGCCGGCAGCUUCAGUGUUGUUUACUUGCCGCAGGGAGAGCCUUCAGAUGGCAGUUGGCCCAUUCCUCCACAUCCUGGAGAGCAACCUGCGGAAAGUCACGGACCCUGCCACCGCACCAGGCGAGACCAGAAAGCUGUACCUCUAUGCGGCUCACGAUGUGACCCUCAUGCCUCUCUUAAUCAUCCUGGGGAUUUUUGACCACAAAUGGCCCCCGUUUGCUGUUGAUCUAACCAUGGAACUCUACCAGCACCGGGAAUCUAAGGAGUGGUUUGUGCAGCUCUAUUACCGUGGGGAGGAGCAGGUGCCAAAAGGAUGCCCUGACCAGCUCUGUCCACUGGACAAGUUCUUAAACACCCUGUCAGCUUACACCUUGAGCCCAGAAAAAUACCACACACUCUGCUCUCAAGCACAUGUGAUUGAACUUGGAGAUGGAGAGUGACCGAUGUAUACAAACAGGAUGCGUUGGUUUUUCAAUAAAAUGCCUUAACACACUG
This is an RNA transcript of Prionailurus viverrinus (fishing cat), 1927 nucleotides long. It is a transcript of the gene named acid phosphatase 6, lysophosphatidic, with no coding region annotated. The record is from RefSeq and is a predicted model, not a curated record. The transcript has 10 exons. NCBI's taxonomy places the organism in Eukaryota, Metazoa, Chordata, Mammalia, Carnivora, Felidae.